CUGGGGGUAGGCUACUCCAGGACAGUUUUGAGAACCACUGCGCUAGACUGAAGUCAGUGAUUAUGUUCUUUGCUCGCUUUCUGUAUAUCCAACUGAGCUGCCAACCUAGGCUGUGCUUUGAGGCAUCAUAAGCACAUUCCCGACACCAGGAACUGACUUCCCAAAGACAUUUCAUG
This 176-nucleotide long non-coding RNA is filed under the name Sinocyclocheilus anshuiensis. RNAcentral's name for it is "lncRNA (ENSSANG00000028979.1)". The record is from RNAcentral. Lineage: Eukaryota; Metazoa; Chordata; Actinopteri; Cypriniformes; Cyprinidae.